GGGGAAGAAUCCACCAUUCCAGCUCAGGCUAUUCUGCUGCCAGCUCCUCCCCUCUGUGAGCAAUGUUCCUGACUUCAGACCUUGCCUGAACAUUCUCCAUAGCACUUGCCUUCUUUGCCCUGAAAUCAAGGUCUGACAGUACUCUACUCCCAGAGCUAUCUCAUUGGCCACAUAUCCUGUAUGGUUGGUUGGCUGGUUGGCUGGUUUGGUUGGAGACAGGGCCUCCAUAUGCAGCUGUGGAACAUAUUAUGUAAACCAACCUGGGCUUCAAACCCACAGAGAUCUGCUUGCCCCUGCCUCCCAAGCAAUGGAAUUAGAGAUACUGCUACCUGCUGAGAGGCCCCCCUGAACUAUUCCGGA
RNAcentral lists this long non-coding RNA (360 nucleotides) under Mus musculus (house mouse). RNAcentral describes it as "predicted gene, 26754". The record is from RNAcentral. Lineage: Eukaryota; Metazoa; Chordata; Mammalia; Rodentia; Muridae.